RNAcentral lists this ribosomal RNA (253 nucleotides) under uncultured bacterium. RNAcentral describes it as "partial 16S ribosomal RNA". It matches the Rfam family "Bacterial small subunit ribosomal RNA", at positions 524 to 776 of the family's 1533-position model. The record is from RNAcentral.
UACGUAGGCAGCAAGCGUUGUUCGGAAUUAUUGGGCGUAAAGCGCGCGCAGGCGGCCUUUUAAGUCUGAUGUGAAAGCCCACGGCUCAACCGUGGAAGGUCAUUGGAAACUGAAAGGCUUGAGUACAGAAGAGGAAAGCGGAAUUCCACGUGUAGCGGUGAAAUGCGUGGAGAUGUGGAGGAACACCAGUGGCGAAGGCGGCUUUCUGGUCUGUAACUGACGCUGAGGCGCGAAAGCGUGGGGAGCAAACAGG